RNAcentral lists this ribosomal RNA (254 nucleotides) under uncultured bacterium. Its description in RNAcentral is "partial 16S ribosomal RNA". It matches the Rfam family "Bacterial small subunit ribosomal RNA", at positions 524 to 776 of the family's 1533-position model. The record is from RNAcentral.
UACGAAGGGGGCUAGCGUUGCUCGGAAUCACUGGGCGUAAAGCGCACGUAGGCGGCUUUUUAAGUCAGGGGUGAAAUCCUGGAGCUCAACUCCAGAACUGCCUUUGAUACUGAGAAGCUUGGAGUCCGGGAGAGGUGAGUGGAACUGCGAGUGUAGAGGUGAAAUUCGUAGAUAUUCGCAAGAACACCAGUGGCGAAGGCGGCUCACUGGCCCGGUACUGACGCUGAGGUGCGAAAGCGUGGGGAGCAAACAGG